UUACCCCUACGGUAUUCGUGAUCGAGAUAAUGUCUUGAGCCAACACUCGAUUUCCAUGAGACCCAACGUCCUUGCCGGAGAUGAUGGCCUUCACGGUUGACUGAACCAAGGUGAGGCGAGUCUCGACAUUGUGGGAACGGGUCAAGACUUUCAAGACACGGUAUCUGUGGGGGUUUU
RNAcentral lists this non-coding RNA (177 nucleotides) under Synergistaceae bacterium. Its description in RNAcentral is "6S RNA". It matches the Rfam family "6S / SsrS RNA". Rfam says of the family: E. coli 6S RNA was the first non coding RNA to be sequenced, but its function was unknown until recently. The record is from RNAcentral. Lineage: Bacteria; Thermotogati; Synergistota; Synergistia; Synergistales; Synergistaceae.